AUUAUAAGAACUGUUCAUAAAUUAUAAACGGAGAGGUAAUGAAAUAAAUAUCACCAUCAAUUGAAUAUAGCAAGAACUUUAUAAAAGACGAGGCAGACUCACAGAUGGUUUAAGUAUAUUAGUAUAUGUCUCAAAACUCUGAGAAACGUAUGACGGUUUUGUAUUCGCAUUUUUUUUAUUCUUUUUUUUUGUUUUUUUUUUCUUUCAAAUAGAUCACACAUGAAAAAAAGUUGUUGCAUAAAGAGAUGUGUUUAUAUCGUGCGUAAAAAGUACGUACACCAAUCGAAAAAGAGUUAUUAGUCAAGGAUAGAAGCUGAAAAAGGAAACGCUCGACUAGAUUUGAUAAACUCCCUCUUAUUAUCUUAGGUUACGAAUUGUCGAAAUUAACAUGUUUCUCUUCUUAUCUAACCUUAACGACCAAAACUCAUUGACAUUAUCGUAAAAAAUACAUACAUGUUCAUGGUCGUCGAUCGUUUAUAAAUUAUUUAUUACUUAUCGUUUGUCAGUUAUUAUCAUAUUUUAGAAAAAUAAUUGUUUAUUUCUAAUUAUACAAGAGAAAGCAUAACAAUAAAAUAGAGAGAAUACUGGUAAUAUUGUAACGAAAGAGGGAGUUCUAUUUCUUAUUAAGAAAAAACGUGACUUUCGCUCCUAUUGGAGGAGUACUGGGAAAAAUGUACAACGAAGAAAAUUAUUUCGAGUAAAGUAAUUUGUUUCAUAAGCAAUUGUAGUUUUGUAAACUAAUGUGUGAAUCAUUUUUAUCGCGAAAAUGACAAGGAAAUUGAUAUUAUUUUAUGAUAUCAUUGUCCGUCAGCGCGAUAUGACGUGAAUAGAACUUCAGAAUAGAACUUCGAUAGAAUAUCGAAUGAAAAAUCGAUUUUCAAAUCGUUUCGAUUUUUAUCAUGAUCUUCGAUACUUAUCGAUUUUUGUUUAGUCAGGUUAUGGAGCGUUGAUAUUUGUGAAUAAAUUUGACAGAAUAAAAUAAAAAGAAAAAAAUUAAUACGAUUUUGAAAGAUCUGAGAAAUAAGGAUGCGGUAAAAAAAUAUUUUUGAAAUAAAAUUAAUGGAUUAAGAAAUAAGAAAAUAAAAAGAGAACAAAAAAGAGCAAGAAUAGUGUGACAUCUAAAUAAAAAUAAAAAAAAAAUGAUGCAAAAUGCAUAUUCAUUUAAUUUUCAAAUAGUUACCAAAUUCCAUAAAUCUUGUAAAUUUUCUAGAAUUUUUAACGAUAAAUAUGCAUUAUCGAUUAUACUCUUCAUUUCAUAUCUCGUUUUUAAGGAAAACCGAUAACCUAGAAACAGGUACAAUAUUAACGUCCUUCCUCUCCUCUGUAUCCCAACGAACUCUUUUGAAAAGAGUUACAGACGCGGAAUAUCGAUAGACAAAAAUUAAUUAUGCGACGCUGGAGUGAGGAAGAGCAAUAUCGGAUGGAAUUCACGGAACGAACGGAAAAUAGAAGCGAAUUUUUCGAAUUCAUCAAUUCAUCAAUGGAUCGUUCACUAUCGCAUAUUGAUUUCCAAAGGUCAAUUGACACAUGAUGACGCAAAAGAAUCGGAAACUAAAGAAUAAAACAAUCUUAUUCCGAAGAAAGAGGCUACGAACUGAUGGAAAAGAAAAUAUGAUGGUAAGAGAUGGAAUCAAGAAUCAAGACGAAGAGAGAGAGAGAGAAAGAGAAGAAUGAAGCUCCUUGACCCGACUGAUACGCUCAACUGAUUUGAUAAAUUCCAAGCAUUUCUGCCAUUCUAUAGCAUAUAGUUAUAAGUGUAAAUAUGUAUUCCGCUUGGUGUUCUACGUUUCUUAGCGAUGAUACCCGCACCCGGCCUUCGCGAGAAUGAGUUUAAUUGACUGAUAUGCCGAGCCGAAUCGCGGGCGGCUUUGAAGCGUGUAUGAAAGUUCGUUAAUAUCGACGAUAUGUGGGAGAUAAGACGGGUUGGUUUGAUAAUUUAUUAUUAUUACGAUAUAUUUCAAAUCUCAAAAUCCAAUCAAUUCUUAUUCGCUUUAUAUAUAUUAUUUAAAUUUUGUAUUAUUAUUUAUACGUAAUAAUCUAGCUUUUUAAUGCGAUCAAAUGAAUUGGACUUUUGGAACGACACGUAGUGAAUUCUAGAUUUCUAGAUUAUUAUAAGAAACAAAAGUAACACAAGAUCUAGCGUGUGAAUAAACGUAACUGUAGAAUGUUUCGGAAUAUCAGAUGUCCAGGCUUUUGAAAAUUGAAUACCACUUGAACUGGCUGAAAUGCUUGCGCUAUUGUUAUCCCAGAUAUCCAAAACAUUCAGAUAUUAGAUACCUUACGUAUCCCGAAUAUUGAAUAGAGAAUAUUUCAUGAUUUCGAGAUAUUCGAAUUCCGUUUCUUUUAAGGUAUGUACGACGAUAUCUGUACAGUAUGAUUACUAAUCAUUUAGUUUAUCAUAUUUCUUAUGAUAGUAGAAAUAUUAUUGAUUGAACGUUAAUAAAAUUCUCCCAGGUAUCGUGUGACAUUUAUCCGGAGCAUUAACCAGAACGCGCCAAAGCGGAAAUCGCUGGUUUAUCGCGCUGACAGACGCGGGGAUUUAAUCGUUCGAUCGGAUUAGAUGCGAUUGUCAGAGCUACUGUCACGCCUGUCGCAAGCGUUUCGAUAGAAAAUUGAAAACCGUGGAACAGGAGAGUUUAGACUGGCAAGGAGGGACAUUACGGGGGAUUCCUGUAAACGGUUCCGUUUCUUUAAUACAUUGUUCGCUUUUGUGCGGACGCAAACGUUGCGAUCGAUAAAAUCUGACAAAUUACACAACAAUACAAUGACAUUAGAUACGAUCGGUCUCUUGUCGCCGAUAAAAAAAACUCCUCCAACUUGGUCUGUUUUGCCCGAAACGAGUCGCGAUCGUUUCGAUUUUUGCAGCGGUUUUUCCACUUCUUUUUUUUCCUCUUCUUUUUUUUUUUUUUUUUUAAUGCUUUUAUGUAUUUUUUAGUUAACCAAGUUCGAGGAUUGUUGGCCGUUAGGCGGGAGAUUUGACAAGCUUCGAGGACGCAUCCACGUCGACGAUUCCCGCCGGUGGUCCUAGUAAUAUACACUUGACUGUAUAUUGGAUAAGAAAACUUUGAAUCGAGGAUAUUGAACGAGAGGCGCGUGCGUUGCACGAGAGACUGCUUCUCCUAUUUUUUUUUUCGUUUCUAUUACGUUUAUAGAAAUGUGUUACACAUGUAUAUUAUGAUGAUCCUCGGCCUUCAAUAAGCAUAGGGAAAUCGUCGAAGAUCGCAAGAUCGUAUUUUUUUUCAUCGUUUCGUUAAUCUCUUUUUUUCUUUCUUCCUUUUUCUUUUUUAAUCUGACACGUUCAAAGUUUUCUCCAAUUUUUUUUUUUUCUGCUAACUCGAACAUUCUUUAUUGCAGAUUCUUCGUCGUUAUUCGUGAAAUAACGAAGAAAAGGAGGAAGUACGGAUGAACGUAAUCGUGACAUCUUUACGAAUUUGAGUUGAGCCGCCAUAUUAAAAUGGAAAUAAGAUUUCGUGGGAAUCUCAGCCGUCUGGAAUUGAGUAAAUUUUCGCUGACUCGAAAAAGGCAAGCACUUUUUUUUUUACAGUGGCUACAUGAUUCACAAAACGUAAUGAAGCCUGAAAGCUAUGAAAAAGGAGACAGAAUGUUGUUAGCGAGGAUAAAUAGAACGCAAUUUUUCCGCGAUUCCGACGAGCGAAAAUUAUACUGGAAAUUAGAGCACACGAUACGGUAGAUACAUUAUCAGAAAUUAUAACACGUAUUACAGUUAAAUCCAAAAAGAAGCCGGGGAAUAUGGGUGCAGUUAAGAGAGAUACGAUAAUGCGAAUUACAUGACGAAGAUUAAGCGAGAUUUAUAGCGAAUUUAGCAACCAGAUAUCGCCGAGUUAAUAACUCUAAUUGGAGAAUAUAAUGAUGUUUUGAACGUUGGAACGAAACGAUGAUGCUCGAUCGUGCGAUUCGCUUGAAAUCCUUCUCCGCUUCGCGCAUACUAUAGGCACAACUCUUUUUCUUAUUCAAUUUUCAUUCUCUUAAAUCAUCAACAGUUUAGUACAGUUAUAAUAUGUACAAAGUAUACAGAUCUCCGCUACUUCAGAGGAGGGACACAACUUUCGAACUGCGAUGUAUCGUUUUUUUUUCUCUCUCGAAUGAAUUGGUGCUUCCGGUUAAAAGCACCGGUUCGAAUUUCGCGGAUCUUGCCAUUGCUUACGCUAAAAUUGUCUCGAACGACUCUAUCGUAGUGGGAAUAAAAGAAUAAUCUUUGAUCUGUAAUUUUAAAAUUUUUCUUUUAAAAAUUAUCUCAUAGAAAUAACUUAUAUUUUCCAGAGUCUAUCUUUAUCAAGAGCAGAGUCGAGGAUAGAACGAAAUAAGAGAUGUUAACGACAUGAAAAAUCGAAGUCGUGAGCAUGAAAGGAAAGUUGCAAGCUUUGGAGGAACGAUAUCAGGUUUCUCAUCGGUGCUUUUAAUCAGGUAUUGGGACGAGUUUCGUGUGUACAAGUAAACCCGAUUCAACCACGGGCACACGUGCGCGGUACACGACGGUUCAUGGUGGACUGUAAUAUCUAAUGUGUGAACUAACUGGUGUAUCGAUCGUCUUGCUACUGACGCGAUGCAUGCUGAUGCAAGACGUAACGUAAACACAUGUGUUUCAGUAUAUAGAUAUCGGUUAUUUGAAACUAUAAUUACACGAGGAAAGAACAGGAUACGAAGCUUUCAAAUGGGACAUCAUAUCGGCAUCAAGAUGGAAAAGAUAAGGAGAAACAGUUUCACGAAUCGGUUGUAGAAUUCUCACCGUCUCGAAGAAAAUCAAUAUGAAAGUAGAUACGCUGCCAGGAUGUAGAUACCGGUUGGUUGAAUUGUGCAUCUUUUCUUGUACUCUACACACAGAUACAUACUUUGAACCGGAGUGGAAGAUGAAAAGUACCGAUUUGUGUGAACUACUUUAAAUGGUGGGGAAGAGAGAAUACAAGAAAGGAAAGUUUGCACGAAGAGAUAUUUAUGAGUUUGUAUGACCAGCUUUGUCCAGUAUCUGUUUUUGCCUAAAGAAGUAUUGAAAAGUUGGGACAUACCCCGUUUCAGCAGUUCCACGAAACGGUGGAGAGUUAGCUUAGAUUCUUUGAGAAUGAGGAUAACACGAAGAUAACAAGAAGGAGUCAAUUUUAAAGAUAAAAAAAUCUGAAGAAAUUGAAAAAGGAUAAAUUGGAUAAGGAAAUUUUUAAAUUUAAAAAGAUUCUCGACUGUCGUCCCAUUUGAAAAUUGUUGCAAAAAAGGCAAAAGAAAGAUUGAUGGAAAAUGGCGGAUGAUAUGAAAGGCGUAGGAAAAAUAGACGAUAAGCGCGGGAUGCAAAAAUUGAAAAGUGCAAUAUCGUCGAAGACCUCGCACGUAUGACGCUAUAUUGGUACAGGUACAGUAGAACGUGGCCAAAAUGGUUGGAGAAACAAGUGUGUAUUUUCGACGAGCAAUAAACUGGAUAUUUCUUCGAUCUAUAAGUGCCACACGCGGCACGAUGUUCGUGAUUCUAUCACUCUGAACGAAUUUCUUCAUUAACUUCUCCCUGGUACAAAUUACACAAUUUAUCGUUAUCUAAAACGCGUAUUAAUAAUUUUUAGAUAGUAAAUUUAUCGAUAAAACGGCGAUUAAUAAGUAUUUAAUUUUUAGAAAAAGAAAUAAUGAUGUAUAAACAUGAUUCGGAAUGAUCGAAUUGAUCGACGUAUAAUAUAAACAUUCAACAUAUAUGUAUAUUAGAAUGAGUAAUUAACGGAAAAAAUUAAUAAAUUUUUCGUACAAUGAUAAAUUAGUUCAAUAAGUCAAAAAUUUGGAUCGUUCGCAUUGUUCUUUUUUACCCUGAUCUCUUUUGGCCUUUUUUAUUUAAAAAAAAGUCGAGUACGAACAUUAAUGCCCGUGUGUAUGUGUGUGUAUAUCUGUAUAUUUAUGAAUGCAUAUGUUUAUGAUGUACCACGUUGAUUGCUCUGUAACGAGAGCAUCUUUCGUUCAUUCCUACUUUCGGUUUAUGUAACAUCGACUGCACUCUAAAGUAUUAUUAUUAAUAUUAUUAUUAAUUUUUUUUUUAUUUGCAUUCGUUUUAGGUGUAAGUAUUCUACCGUAAUAAGUAUGUUGUUACGACUCGGCGACUACACCGCGCACGGAUUCUUUAUUAUCAAAGAAGUCAUAGACGAUAGGUGAAAAAAGUCUUUAGAGGAAAAUAGGUAUUUUUUUUGUUUUUUGUUUUCUCUUAAUAAAUUGACAAAGUAGUAGAUAGAAUCGUAUUCUUGUACGUGUAUAAUAGAAUUCGUGAUCGAGGGGGAUUUCGUUCUUUUUUUUUUUUUUUUUUUUUAAUUCCUCUUUCGAUUCCCUCUCUUGAUCGAUUUCUAUCAAGAGUGUAUGCGUGUUAUGUAUACGUAUGUGAAAUUUUUCCAGCGUUCGAAUCGUGUUAACGCGAAAUCCUUUCUGGUUCCUUCUCACGAUUCUCCACAAGACAGCUCCAAUAAGUUGGUUCCAUUCGGCCGAAUUUUUCUUCGUCAGAGCUGCUUUGUCGUCGAGAACUUCGAAUCGAACAUUCACCCUCUUCGUUUUUGCUCUUUUCUCUUUCAAAUUGGACUCCGUU
Apis florea (little honeybee) is the source of this 6559-nucleotide long non-coding RNA. The record is from RefSeq and is a predicted model, not a curated record. NCBI's taxonomy places the organism in Eukaryota, Metazoa, Arthropoda, Insecta, Hymenoptera, Apidae.